This 432-nucleotide unclassified non-coding RNA is filed under the name soil metagenome. Its description in RNAcentral is "partial contains 5.8S ribosomal RNA, internal transcribed spacer 2, and large subunit ribosomal RNA". The stretch from base 1 to 120 matches the Rfam family "5.8S ribosomal RNA", at positions 35 to 154 of the family's 154-position model. The record is from RNAcentral.
GAUGAAGAACGUAGCGAAAUGCGAUACGUAAUGUGAAUUGCAGAAUUCAGUGAAUCAUCGAAUCUUUGAACGCAUAUUGCGCUCUCUGGUAUUCCGGAGAGCAUGCUUGUUUGAGUAUCAGUAAACACCUCAACUUCCAUAUCUUUUUUGAAAUGGGAGUUGGACUUGAGUGAUCCCAACGCUUUUCCUCACCGAAAAGUGGCGGGUUACUUGAAAUGCAGGUGCAGCUGGACUUUUCUCUGAGCUAUAAGCAUAUCUAUUUAGUCUGCCUAAAAAACAGAUUAUUACCUUUGCUGCAGCUAACAUAAAGGAGAUUAGUUCUUGUGCUAACUGAUGCAGGAUUCACAAAGACGGCUUCGGCCGACUUUGUAAACUCGAUCUCAAAUCAAGUAAGACUACCCGCUGAACUUAAGCAUAUCAAUAAGCGGAGGA